This 403-nucleotide ribosomal RNA is filed under the name Fusobacteriota bacterium. RNAcentral describes it as "Fusobacteria bacterium partial 16S ribosomal RNA". It matches the Rfam family "Bacterial small subunit ribosomal RNA", at positions 355 to 776 of the family's 1533-position model. The record is from RNAcentral. Lineage: Bacteria; Fusobacteriati; Fusobacteriota.
UGGGGAAUAUUGCAUAAUGGAGGGAACUCUGAUGCAGCGAAGCCGCGUGAACGAAGAAGGCUUUCGAGUCGUAAAGUUCUUUUAUAUGGGAAGAUAAUGACGGUACCAUAAGAAAAAGCCCCGGCUAACUACGUGCCAGCAGCCGCGGUAAUACGUAGGGGGCUAGCGUUGUCCGGAAUCACUGGGCGUAAAGGGUUCGCAGGCGGAAAUGCAAGUCAGGUGUAAAAGGCAGUAGCUUAACUACUGUAAGCAUUUGAAACUGCAUAUCUUGAGAAGAGUAGAGGUAAGUGGAAUUUUUAGUGUAGCGGUGAAAUGCGUAGAUAUUAAAAAGAAUACCGGUGGCGAAGGCGACUUACUGGGCUCAUUCUGACGCUGAGGAACGAAAGCGUGGGUAGCAAACAGG